CCUCUAUAUACAUAUGCAGAAUAAGUUUAUAAAUGAGUCAGGGUAAGACAUUGAUAGAACAAUUAUGAUAUACUGUGAUAAAAGUUAUGUAAAUGGGCUCGCUCUCAAAAGCUCUUAUUUUACAGUCCUCCCCUUGUUACAAUGGGAGAUAAAAGGCCCAUGUGCGGAGAUGAAGGGAGGUGCAUGAAGUAGGCACCGUCAGGCUGCCAUUCGGAGGAUUCAUGGAGGGGGGGGUCUCCGGGUCCAGAUCGCAGAUGACUGUGGGCGGGGGGUGGGGGGGGCCAAACUGCAGAAUGUGAAACCCCGGCUGGGCGGGGACAACCAUACGUGCUGCUCGGUGCCUGAAUAAUUUAAGUCCAUGUGAAGGUCUCUUACUUCCCUAGUUCUGACCUUUCAUUUCCUCCCACCCACCUAUCCUCCUCCUCCUCCUCCUCCUCCUCCUCCUCCUCCUCCUCUUCCUCCACCACCACCACCACCCAGACUCACUUCUCACAUUCUGAGCCUCCAGCCUUUUCUCUCCUGCACAGUCUGAUCGCCAGGACUUAUGUAGAAGCUGGUGGAGGACCGGGACUCAAGAACCCUGUGCCCCUAGGAAUCAAGAUCCCCCAGCCUCAGAGGUGCUCCGGGAGUUCCGUACGAAGCCGUCUACCAAGAAGGAAGGAACUGGGAGGGCGUGCGGUCCCCUGCCUCUACCCGGAGUGCCGCAUAGGGUUUGUCCUGUAUUUCACCUGGUUAAAAAAAAAAAAAAAAAAAAAAGUACUAAGACUUACAAGUUUGAGAACAUCUUUCACUCUAGUUUUCUGAUUUUACUGAUGAAUAAACAGAGGCCAGAGGAGACAGGACUAAAGUAGAAAGUUCCUUGUGAUCUGCAGAGCAAGACCAUAUAAGCAAAACCUUAUGAAGAUUAUAAGUGGCCUUGGAUUAGAGCUGGUGUCAUAGACCUCCGGAGCCUUCAUUUGGUGGGUAAGCAAAGAUCUCUCGGGGUCCUGGUCUCCGUCUGUGAACGUGCUGCCCCUUGAAGCAGCCAGAUUCUGGAUGCACUGCUGCGGAGCACCUUGGAGGCUCCCCAGGGCUCCAGCUUCUUAAGGAGGUCAACAAAUCCCCGUACUAGGGAAGGACUAAAAUUGACACAGGCGUCUAUCCACAGACGAUGGAAUAUUUUAUAAUAAAAAAAAGUUCGAGGAUAUAAAGACCUUCUUGCAAAGGUAAGGACUGAUGCUCUGGGCCUCGACUGGCCCCCACCCUCACCCUGCCCUCCAACCCCAGCCGGGACCUGGGCACAGGGACCUGGAGGGGAUCUCCAGGUGAACGGACUUCCCCGCCCCCAGCCGGGCUUCAGGCUGUGGAUCCGGCAGCGUGUACACUCACGAGCCGAGUCAUAGUUCAGAACCCCUGGGGGUCAGGGUGAGUCCACACCGCGCCACGAGUCCUGCUGCGUCCACAGAAGUGAGAUCAGCUCCAGAACAAAGAACCAAGACGAAGACAACAGAAGGGAAGCGUUUUCUAUUUUAGUACCUUUAACAGCACUUCUUUCCUGUUAACAGACCCCGCGUUCAGAUACGUGCUCAACUAGGUCCCCCACGACUUCCAUGCUGAAGCCCUGAACCCCAGUACCUUCAGGCUGGGACCUUACAUGGUCUUUAAACAGGUGAUUAAAAUCAGGUCUCCAAGGUGAGUACUACCCCAGUAUGACUGGCAGUUUUGAGGGGACACUGGAGGGGCAUCUGGGGAGUCAGGGCGUGACCCCAGGGUCCUGGGAUCGAGUCCCUCAUCGGGCUCCCUGCAUGGAAUCUGCCUCUCCCUCUGCCUGGGUCUCUACCUUUCUCUGUGUCUCUCGUGAAUAAAAAUAUUUUUUAAAAAAGGGGAUCCCUGGGUGGCUCAGUGGUUGGGCGCCUGCCUUCAGCCCAGGGCAUGACCCCGGGGUCUUGGGACCAAGUCCCGCGUCGGGCUCUGCACGGAGCCUGCCUCUCCCUCUCUGUCUCUCAUCAAUAAGAAGAAUCUAAAAAAAAAAAAAAAAAGAAAGAAAAGGACACUGGACAAAGAGACCUCAGGGGUACCUACGCUCAGAAGACUGGCCACGUGAGGACAAAAGGACAGAGAAGGCAACCACCUGCAAGCCCAGGAGACCGGCCCUGAUAGAAACCCACCCUGCUCACACUUGAACCCCAGAUCCCAGUCUGCAGCGUCGUGGGGAAACAAUCUGCCGUCCAAGCCACCCAGCCGGGGGUACUUUGUCGUGGCGGCCCUUGCAAACUGACCCAGGGCCCCAUAUUUUCACUUUGCACCAGGCCCUGAAGGUUACGUAACCAGUUCUGACCUCUGCGUGGAUAAAGGAGACCCGGCUUCAGGAGGAUUUUAACCCAGAACCAUAUAGGGAAGGAGGUUGGGACAACCGUGCUGGCCCGCUUCUCCACGCAGGCAAGCAGGGAGGUCCCUGGAAAGGCGAGGACGUGCCCGUCUGCGCCACGGCAGCCGUGCUCGUGGGGUGCUGACGGAGCCUCUGACACUUCCCUGCACGCGGGCGCGUGUACGCCAGCAGACCGCGUAGACACCUGUAUCUUGUACCUGUAGUUCAAGGUGCAGCAUCUGGCAAAGAACCUGAACAUCCCGGAACCUCGUCCUAAGGGUCCUUAAUGGAGAUGCAUUUGGAUUUCCCAAUUGAGUCUUACCAAAAAAAUUUAAAAAAAGAAAAGAAAGAAAGAAAAAAAGAAAAAGGAAAGCAGUCGCCUUGCUCGAAGACCAGGGACCUUGCAAACUACACGGGACUUGACACAGAGGUGCCUCGUCACCCGGGGGGAUGACGCAGCCGCGACUCCCUGGCCACGGAUGCGCCUUCGUUCCUUUCAGUUCACACCGCUCAGCGUUGCGGCCUGGCUAAGGCUGCGCGUCGUCCGGCCGCGCUGGGAGCCCACUUUCCGUCACAGCCGCCGGCCCUGCGUCAGAAAGCAAACGUGCUUGCCGCUUCAGGACGAGAACACGCGGUAGGACUUCAAAAAAAAAAUUCUGUCUAAAGUCAUCGUCCUACUAAAACCAUAAAACCAAGAUAAUACCUAAGGCCCUGGUAGGAAAAGGGUAGGGGACCUUUCACUGCCCUUAGGGCCUUGUCCCCCAGCAGUGGUCACGCCCGGAUAACCCUCGCGGCCAGGACACGGUCACCGCGCAAAGACCCUUUGUAUCUUCGAUUUGAGUCGCCUAAAAUGUAUUCCCGGAUUAAAAAUAGAUUUUUAGGGCAGCCCGGGGGGCUCAGCGGUUUAGCACCGCCUUCAGCCCAGGGCGUGAUCCUAGAGUCCCGGGGUCGAGUCCUGCCUCGGGCUCCCUGCAUGGAGCCUGCUUCUCCCUCUUCCUGGGUCUCUGCCCCCCACCUCUCUGAUGAAUAAAUAAAUAAAAUAUUUUUAAAAAAGAGAUUUUCAAAAAGUCCUAGUUUCAAAGUCUGCCUUCAAUUUUUUAGUAUCAGACUCUUAAAAAAAA
RNAcentral lists this long non-coding RNA (3468 nucleotides) under Canis lupus familiaris (dog). Its description in RNAcentral is "lncRNA (ENSCAFG00040022619.1)". The record is from RNAcentral. Lineage: Eukaryota; Metazoa; Chordata; Mammalia; Carnivora; Canidae.